Non-coding RNA from Cyanistes caeruleus (blue tit), 3794 nucleotides. NCBI's taxonomy places the organism in Eukaryota, Metazoa, Chordata, Aves, Passeriformes, Paridae. The record is from RefSeq and is a predicted model, not a curated record.
GAGAUUGUGGAUGAGCAAGGCUGAGAAGAAGCACUGGCUAAGAAAAUGUGUGAGUGCACUUUCCCUCUCACACUUCCAUUAAAGCAUAAUUUCCUGAAGAAAAUAGAAACAUUGAUUAUGUUGUUGACAUCAUCAAAAUCCUAGCAACUCCAGGUUAUCUUUGAGUUAGGUCUAGACAUCCUAGGACAGAACAGAAGAUGGAAACUGUCGUGGCUGAAUACAGGACUUCUAGAUUCUUUUUCAGUCUCAUAUUGUUGCUUUCCUUUUGGGUCACAAAAUUGGAUCCUUUUAAGGACAGACUCAAUAUUGCAGUAAGCACUGACUAACCAAUGAUGCCAUGGGGUGCCAUGGUGCUGUAGGAUAAUGACUGUCCAAGAAAUCCUUGCCUCCACCCUCAUGGGGAGCCCAUAUCCACAGAGACUUCCUAAAGUCUGUUGCAGCCACCCUGAACAAGAAAUUCAAAUAUGCAUUUGAUUGUGAAUUUGGACCGAUGCAAAAACUGAUGUGCAAACACACCUGAGCUGGUGGGCAGUGCCUGCAAAAUGGGAGCCACCAAUGUUCUAUUCCCAGCUGCUGCAGUGGUGGAAGGCCCUUGUGCUGGGUGGUAGCUGCUCCACAGUGUGGCAAAUUGCAUUGCUGGCACCAAAGCUGCUGUUGUCGCUUCCAGCUCCAAACUGCUCUCGUCUUUGCGAUUCGUUACUGGGAGUGAGCGUUUUCUGCAUGUCAGGUUUUGGUUGCACAGGAAGUGUGAUCUCAACUGGAUUCCUGCCAAGGACAUACUUGCCACAGAGCUUCUAUCAGACUUCAGUUUUUUUGGUAGUGUUGCAAGUCGAUGGCCAUAAAUGGAUGGGAAGGUGCUCUUCUAUAACUACCAUGGGCACCCGAAUAAACUCUGUUUUCAUGCUGUGUGUUGAGACUCUGACAGGGGACAGGUUUGUUUGUGCUGCAAUGAGAUUCUGGCCCCACAGAUCUCUGCUCAUUUUUCAGGGUUUCUGUUUGGUUUUGCCUGUGCAGUCCUUGGCUGUGCCCUUUCCCCUCUUACUGCUCCUGCCAGCAGACUGAAAUGCCUUCAUUCAGCUUUUUCCCUUUUUUAAUCUGCUGGUGCCCUCUGAGGUAGAGCCAAACAGGAGCAUAAGCAUAGUUAUCACAGCCAUAAGGCAAUGCAAUGUAACUCUGCGCAUACAGUGUUUCUCUUUUAUUUUAUUUUUCUGUAAAAAAGAUGUCAUGUGAGAAGGAAAAAAAAGGUGAAAAAUAUCCAGUCUUUCUUGGUGCAGUUAGGAACCUCCCCAGCCACCCUGCAUGGCUCCCACCAUCUAUUAUCUGGGGACAAAUUUUCACCCACAUGCUAUGCUGCUACUCUGCUGAGAAUAUCCAGGACCCAAAAGAAGAUGGACCUAUGGGUGCUCUGGGUGGGGAGUGAGGCAAAGCACAACCUGUCCCAGUGGUGAGGCUGGCUGGGGUGCCAGCCGGUGGGUCUGAAGCCACCACCCCGCUCCUCAGCUGCGGGCUUUUCCAACAUGAUCUAUAGAGCGAUGCUGACAGUAGAUUUUCUGGCAGCAAUAAAGGUGGCCCGAUUCAGAGAAUAAUUACUGUAUGCAAAUGAGUGUGAUUUGCCUCUGCCCUUUUAUGGAUGACUCUGCUCUGCCAUUCAUCAGGGCCACAAAUUUCACUUGGUAGGAGACGGAUUUAAAGAGACAGCCGCCUCUAGAGCUUUGUCUCGGACUUACUAAAUCCAUGCUUAAGUGUCUUCAUAAAUAGACGUGCAUAUGUUAUAAAGGGGAUGGCAGAUUCCAGCCUCUUUAUCUAUGUAUUAUUGCUUAGAAAACUGUUGAGAAAACAUCCGACUCUAUGGCCAUACAGUAUAUGAAAGCUUUCACUGCUUUGAAUAACAGUCUCUUCUCAGAUCAGGGUUAUAUGUGGUUUAGUAUGGCCUCUAGUGUGUUUUUUCUCUCUCACUGUGUCCUUUAUGAUGUUUAUAUGGUAUGUGCCUCAGUGUGCAGUGGAGGAGGGAGAGAGUGCUAUAUUUUUUUCUGAUGACGAUUAGUUAAUGGCUAUCACGUUCACUGUAGUAAUGGUAGAGGCUGCACUCACAGCAAGAAGCCUCGGCAUGUUUGUGCUGUUGAGGUUCAGUCCAUCUGAUGGCUGGGAGGAAAUGUCCUGUAGUCGUGACAUUCCUGUUAUGGUCUUGAUCUGAUGAUGCCAUCAAUAUAUUUUGAUAAAAGGGGGAAGACUGCGGCAGAAAAAGAACCAAAUCAAAAUUUUUGUUUCUGAGCAUGGUGUGAGCCGGGUGGGUGAGCAGGAAAAGAAAACUGUGAUGAAGUCAAUCUGUUUUUAUUCCCUGAUGCUGGACACAGGAACAGGGUGGUGUGUUCACAGGAAGUCUGCAGUACUUAAUGUGUCACUGCUAAAUAUCAGUUUGUGCACUUGCUCCCAGCGUGUGCUGUGCACCCACCUCCUCAGCGCACGGAGGAGAAGGAAAGGAGGGAGCUAUAAAUGAAACAGGCUCGUCUGUCACUGGGCUGUCUUGUUACUCAUGUGGCAGCAAUACACCGGUGUCAGUACAUCCACAACACUUUUCUCCCAGUGCCACUCAAAAAACAGAGGACAGAAGCUGUGGUGUUUCGGCGUUUGUCGACAAUGUGCACCACUAGAGGCCAUCACACACUUCCCUAAAUAAAUAUCAAUUAAUGCAUUUGUUUUUGGGGAAUUCCUGGGCCCCUUAAUCUAGCCUUGUGGCACUAGUACUUCAGUUCUGGGUUCAGGUCCUUUGGCUAAGACAUCUGUGCAAAAUAUACUUCAAGAGAGAAGCUGUUUUAAGGAAGCCUUUGGUCCAUAUACAGAAUGCAUCAGACUUUUCCUUUGAAUACAACAAGUGGGUAUCAAAUGAAAGUGAAAAAAACUGGGCCCAUUUUCCUCGGGCUAUCAAGAAAAGUGGGCAACACUUUCAGGCAAAUGGGGAAGUUUACUUGCUUCUAAAGUUUGUGCCUUGUUCACUUCCAAUUUUGGCAUAUUUUCUGUUUUUAGGAACACUCCUGUCCAGUGUGGAGUUCACCUGUGAUUAAGGUGAACUGGAGAGCCUGGUGCUCAUGCUCACACAAGGAGAAGAGCAGCCACCACUGUCAAUGAGCGGACACCCUGCAUUGCUGUUGGGGAGCAUUUUGCAUGGAGAUCCACAAGACAUUUAAGACUGAGGCCUUUUGAGACUGAUUAAGCCAGUGCUGCUGGUGGCUUGUGAGUGUGGGAGUAAGGCCUGCUGUGCUGCAAAAUCUCCAGGUCACAGAUAGAGGAAAGAGAAGGAAUGGGGGAGGAAAGGUCAUUAAAUAUCCACAAAAGUUUCCAUUGAAAGUGUGGCUUCGUGUGUCUGUAUCCCUUCCUACCUAGAACUUUCUUCCUUCCUUUUCAGCCUCUCCUUCUUCUGAUCCUCUGUGAAUACAAUGAGAGACAGUUUCUGCACCCUGGAUAUUGCACCACAUGUGGUUUGAAUAUGUACACAUAUAGGGCAAGCUCUGGACUUAUUGCACAUUUUUAGUAGUACACACUAUAAGCUAGGCCCUGGUGAGGCAAUCAAGAAGAAAGUUCUCUGCUCCAAGGAUUUUGCCAUCUAAGAGUGCUGGCAAAAGUUGACAGAGGGUAGAGGGGGAGAAAUAGAAAGUUUAUAUACAGUCGGCUGUACUUGACAGGAGCAAUUUAAUGCAUAGAUGGGACAAGGUCCUGCAGGUGAUCUCUGGGAGGUCUUGCUGGAUAUCCAGACUCACAUAGGUGAAGUCACAGAGGCAGCUGCAAAGCAACCAGAC